CUUCGGCGCUCGCUGAUUGGCCAUCCGUGCAGGCAGGUGCGGUCUGGCACCUCGGGAUCCCAACGGGUGGCCGCCUGCGUGGCUGCCUGCCUCACCUCAGGAGAGACCCUGCUGAUAUCCCACAGUCAGAAAGUGGGAACUACAAUAUCUUUAAUACCAUCCUCAGAGACCCUCAUAAGCAGAAGAGAAGUAUGAGAAAGCUCACAAGGUCCACAGCAAUAUCUUCAUCGCGCCAGAAUGUCAGGGGCUUUAGCACAACAGAAAUCAAUAGUUUCUAGUACAUUUUUUGGUACAAUUUUUUUUUAAUGACCUAACCUGAGAAAGUACAGGGAAGGCAGAGGUACAGAACAGUAGGAAACAAAACCUCCUUAACCGAAGGCCUAUUUAGACAUGUCAUGCAACGUCAGUUUAGGAGAGACGCGUUCUUUAUCUGAGCCACACAACCGGGCAGCUGGAGCGAGGUCUUGGUCCUGGAGUGCUUUCGGUCAUAGCCAAAUAUAAGUCUUAACGUUACAUCUGCAAUGGAAAAACAAGUCAAACUCAGCAAAAAGGAGCCCUGAAGAGACAGAGUUAAGUGCUUCCGUGAUGAGAGUAGAGUUGGCCUAUGCUGUCCCUCCCAGGACUCCUUUACCCAAGAGAAAGAGAGAGUGUGCAUCCAAAGGGGAGUGAAAAUAGAAUAUAAAUAGGGAAAAUAGAACCAUUCAGAGCAGUUCAGGGAUCUUUACUACUCUGACAUGGAAGGAAGAAGGAGGAGAAGAGAAAAGAUGAACGGACCUUGAACCUGGGAUAUCGCUCAUGUGACUGCUACAUUGGUAUUAAGAUACAGCAUUCAUGUGCCCUGGAAUGUUUUGUUCUAUUAGGUGCUACACCCAGUAGAACAGUGCUCCAUCCAAUGCAAUUUUCUGGAAUUUAAACAAUCCAGACCAGAAUUUUUCCUCCUUGGAGAUGGAAUGUCUUGCUCCAGAGGGAGGAGGAAGAAGAGAAAAGAGAAGUCUCAACCAGCCUCCUCUCUACCCCACACAGAGAAUAGAGAUGCAAAACUUCUCCCAUAGAGUGUUUCAGCUUCUUCCUCGUUCCUCUUGCUUCUUUUCUCUUGGGAUAAUGACUUGGGUUUGGCCAGUAUGUAAAGUUGACUUGUGGUACCUCUGGCUCUUCUCCAGGGGUGCUCACAGAAAUAACUACAGUGGACUAGAAUGAGAUGCUUGAAACCUUCCCCCGAGCCUAGCUCUGCAUUUAGGAGAACAGCACAGCGCACCAUGAUCUGAUAUAGGUAUAGGUGGGUGGGAGUCUCAGUCUGUAGUUCUAUAUCACCUAUUAAGAGACUGGAACCUGGUCCCAUGUUUUCUGCAGGAGGUUGAGCUCUUAACAAUGUGCCAAGCCAGCAGCUGUGCCCUAGAGUCUUGGCCUAAGACAAGCAAAUAAUUGUCAGAUGACUGAAUAGUUCUGUUUCCUUAUUAAAUCUUAGGUUUAGAAUUCCUUUCACAAUUAAAAAGAUUUGGACAACAACU
Long non-coding RNA from Homo sapiens (human), 1508 nucleotides. NCBI's taxonomy places the organism in Eukaryota, Metazoa, Chordata, Mammalia, Primates, Hominidae. The record is from Ensembl.